This 791-nucleotide non-coding RNA is filed under the name Tetraphalerus bruchi. The record is from RNAcentral. Lineage: Eukaryota; Metazoa; Arthropoda; Insecta; Coleoptera; Ommatidae.
GGUGUGUUUAAUUUUGGCUAUUUGGUUGGUGUGAGUCUUGAUAUACAUGUAAGUUUGUGCGAGUGGUAAUUUCUUGCUUUUAUAGGGUAAAUUUAUUUUUGUUCGCAGUGUGUUGGGUUGUGUGUGUGGUCAACCAUGACGCAGCGGGUCUCUUUAGCAUCAGACAAACUUUGUGCCAGCAGUCGCGGUUACACAGGGUGUGCGAGUUAGCCUUUUCGGUUGAGGUAAUUAAUUGUUUUUAAGGUUUGAUUUUAAUUGGUUAAUGUUUGUUAGGUGAAAUUUCAGCUUCCUUUAUUAUCUUGGGGUUUUAUUUGAGGUUACGAAGCUCUGGCUUUAGACUAGGAUUAGAUACCCUAUUAUUCGGAGUGUAAAUUUGGUUACCUGGGUAGUAUUUGUUAAGGUCAUGAAACUUAAGGAAUUUGGCGGUAUUUUAGUCUUCUCAGAGGAACCUGUUCUGUAAUUGAUGGUCCACGAUUUAUUUUACUUUAUUUAGUAGUUUGUAUAUCGUCGUUAUCGGAAAAUUUUUUGAGAAAAGGAAUUUUCUUUCUUCUUUUUGAUUGAUUUAUUUCAGAUCAAGAUGCAGCCUAUGAUAAAGAAGAAAUGGGUUACAUUGAAUUUAUUUGUGGAUGCUCGUUUUAAUAAGCUUGUUGAGAUUGGAUUUGAUUGUAAUGUCUUUAAAUUUUUGGGCAUGGUCUUGGCUCUAGAAUAUGUACAUAUUGCCCGUCACUCUCUCCACAAGGAGAGAUAAGUCGUAACAUAGUAGGCGUACCGGAAGGUGUGCCUAGAAAGUC